This is a non-coding RNA of Mycena leptocephala, 96 nucleotides long. NCBI's taxonomy places the organism in Eukaryota, Fungi, Basidiomycota, Agaricomycetes, Agaricales, Mycenaceae. The record is from the annotation of a GenBank genome assembly.
GGCCUCAUGGUGUAGUGGUAACAUGCCCUCUGUUGAUGCUUCUUCUGCACUGAUUUGUAUUUGAGGAAGUUCCUUGUUCGAAUCAAGGUGAGGCCA